This 229-nucleotide long non-coding RNA is filed under the name Drosophila guanche. The record is from RNAcentral. Lineage: Eukaryota; Metazoa; Arthropoda; Insecta; Diptera; Drosophilidae.
UUACUUACCGGAUUGUGUUUCCAGUACGUAGGCGGACCCAUUGCGGAACCGACCUGUUCUGCUUCAGCUUCUUAGCCAAUUUCUGCUUAAUUCGGAACGAUUUAUGCGCAGCCUAGACAAGAAAGACAGUACGUUUGUUUUAGUAAUUGCAUUUUGACAUUUAAUAUUAUGAUUUCAAAGAACUUCUUUGAUUACUUACCAUUUUGUCUGACCGAUUCAACGAGCCACA